GCUCGUUCAUUUCAUGAUCAUUAAAAUCGGAAAAAAUGCCAGUUCGGAUCGACCAUCCUUCACGACGUUUGGCUCUGAAAUUACGUACCAAUUCAUCAUUUCCGACAUCUCCUACCCCGUUGAUAUGCAAAGCCAAAGGGUCUAAGACCCAUCACGCAAGUACUAGAUUAGGGAAAGAAGAAGUACAAGAUUAAAUAACACAGCAAAUCAGAAUACUGAAACAUUUCCUGAAAAUCAGGCUGAACAAUA
Mytilus trossulus (common blue mussel) is the source of this 249-nucleotide long non-coding RNA. RefSeq lists it as uncharacterized. NCBI's taxonomy places the organism in Eukaryota, Metazoa, Mollusca, Bivalvia, Mytilida, Mytilidae. The transcript is spliced from 3 exons. The record is from RefSeq and is a predicted model, not a curated record.